RNAcentral lists this ribosomal RNA (274 nucleotides) under uncultured bacterium. Its description in RNAcentral is "partial 16S ribosomal RNA". It matches the Rfam family "Bacterial small subunit ribosomal RNA", at positions 523 to 796 of the family's 1533-position model. The record is from RNAcentral.
AUACGGAGGGUGCAAGCGUUACUCGGAAUCACUGGGCGUAAAGCGCGCGCAGGCGGAUUGGCAAGUUGGAUGUGAAAGCCUGCGGCUCAACCGCAGAACUGCAUCCAAAACUGUCAGUCUAGAGUCUGGGAGAGGUAGCUGGAAUUAGUGGUGUAGGGGUAAAAUCCGUAGAGAUCACUAGGAAUACCGAAAGCGAAGGCGAGCUACUGGAACAGUACUGACGCUGAGGCGCGAAAGCGUGGGGAGCAAACAGGAUUAGAAACCCCGGUAGUCC